GCCAACAGUUAUAUCACCCUGCAACUCACAACUAGCAACACACUGAAGCUAAGCAGCUGUGAGCCUAGCCAGUAUCUGGAUGGGAGACCUCCUGGGAAAGUUAAGGUAGCUGCUGGAA
RNAcentral lists this ribosomal RNA (118 nucleotides) under Lepisosteus oculatus (spotted gar). The record is from RNAcentral. Lineage: Eukaryota; Metazoa; Chordata; Actinopteri; Semionotiformes; Lepisosteidae.